Molecule: transfer RNA, 76 nt
Filed under: bacterium
Lineage: Bacteria
Also listed under: 1 other name
Description: tRNA-Gly
Rfam family: tRNA
About the family: Transfer RNA (tRNA) molecules are approximately 80 nucleotides in length. Their secondary structure includes four short double-helical elements and three loops (D, anti-codon, and T loops).
Source: RNAcentral
GCGGGCGUAGCUCAGUUGGUAGAGCGCGACCUUGCCAAGGUCGAGGUCGUGGGUUCGAGCCCCAUCGCCCGCUCCA